GACGAACGCUGGCGGCGUGCUUAACACAUGCAAGUCGAACGGAAAGGCCCUGCUUUUGUGGGGUGCUCGAGUGGCGAACGGGUGAGUAACACGUGAGUAACCUGCCCUUGACUUUGGGAUAACUUCAGGAAACUGGGGCUAAUAUCGGAUAGGAGCUCCUGCUGCAUGGUGGGGGUUGGAAAGUUUCGGCGGUUGGGGAUGGACUCGCGGCUUAUCAGCUUGUUGGUGGGGUAGUGGCUUACCAAGGCUUUGACGGGUAGCCGGCCUGAGAGGGUGACCGGCCACAUUGGGACUGAGAUACGGCCCAGACUCCUACGGGAGGCAGCAGUGGGGAAUAUUGCACAAUGGGCGGAAGCCUGAUGCAGCAACGCCGCGUGCGGGAUGACGGCCUUCGGGUUGUAAACCGCUUUCGCCUGUGGCGAAGCGUGAGUGACGGUAAUGGGUAAAGAAGCACCGGCUAACUACGUG
Molecule: ribosomal RNA, 468 nt
Filed under: uncultured bacterium
Lineage: Bacteria
Description: partial 16S ribosomal RNA
Rfam family: Bacterial small subunit ribosomal RNA
Source: RNAcentral